CUGCAGCCAAUUAAGCUGAAUAUGCUCUAUCCCCCCUGGGGGCCUGGUGUGCAAUAGUUGCAAACAGUGGCCUCUGUGGUAGUGUGUGCAGCUUGUUGUUUGUAUUGGUUGCCCUAAGGGACCAUGGAGACAGCC
Molecule: small nucleolar RNA, 135 nt
Gene: SNORA70
Rfam family: Small nucleolar RNA SNORA70
About the family: snoRNA U70 seems to be exclusive to mammals and is a member of the H/ACA class of snoRNA which contain H (ANANNA) and ACA box motifs.
Source: Ensembl